This 280-nucleotide ribosomal RNA is filed under the name uncultured bacterium. RNAcentral describes it as "partial 16S ribosomal RNA". It matches the Rfam family "Bacterial small subunit ribosomal RNA", at positions 334 to 630 of the family's 1533-position model. The record is from RNAcentral.
CACUCCUACGGGAGGCAGCAGUGGGGAAUAUUGCACAAUGGGGGAAACCCUGAUGCAGCAACGCCGCGUGAAGGAAGACGGUUUUCGGAUUGUAAACUUCUGUUCUUAGUGAAGAGGAAUGACGGUACCUGAGUAAGAAGCCCCGGCUAACUACGUGCCAGCAGCCGCGGUAAUACGUAGGGGGCAAGCGUUAUCCGGAUUUACUGGGUGUAAAGGGAGCGUAGACGGCAGUGCAAGUCUGGAGUGAAAGGCGGGGGCUCAACCCCCGGACUGCUCUGGA